Apus apus (common swift) is the source of this 234-nucleotide long non-coding RNA. RefSeq lists it as uncharacterized. The record is from RefSeq and is a predicted model, not a curated record. Lineage: Eukaryota; Metazoa; Chordata; Aves; Apodiformes; Apodidae. The transcript is spliced from 3 exons.
CAGCUGUGAAGACCACGGGCAGCAGGGAUGGGGCUCUGCUCUGCCCACCCAUGGGCUGGCUGGGGCAACCCUCCUACCUUGCACACACUGACCAGACCCUGCAAACCCCACCUGUGCCAGUCAUCUCCUCUGAUGAUCCAUCUCUCACUUUGAAGAGGAGAAGUGUGUACAGAGAUGACUCUUCUGGAGCAAGUACUGGAACUGAUUCAGCCCACUGAAGUUAAUGAGAAUUUU